UACGUAGGGGGCAAGCGUUGUCCGGAAUCAUUGGGCGUAAAGAGCUCGUAGGCGGUCUGUUGCGUCGGCUGUGAAAACCCGGGGCUCAACUCCGGGCCUGCAGCCGAUACGGGCAGACUAGAGUUCGGCAGGGGGAGACUGGAAUUCCUGGUGUAGCGGUGAAAUGCGCAGAUAUCAGGAGGAACACCGGUGGCGAAGGCGGGGUCUCUGGGCCGAUACUGACGCUGAGGAGCGAAAGCGUGGGGGAGCGAACAGG
Molecule: ribosomal RNA, 256 nt
Filed under: uncultured bacterium
Lineage: Bacteria
Description: partial 16S ribosomal RNA
Rfam family: Bacterial small subunit ribosomal RNA
Source: RNAcentral